Molecule: non-coding RNA, 284 nt
Organism: Gorilla gorilla gorilla (western lowland gorilla)
Lineage: Eukaryota; Metazoa; Chordata; Mammalia; Primates; Hominidae
Rfam family: Metazoan signal recognition particle RNA
About the family: The signal recognition particle (SRP) is a universally conserved ribonucleoprotein. It is involved in the co-translational targeting of proteins to membranes.
Source: Rfam
GCUGGGCAUGGCGGUGGUGCCUGUAAUCGCAGCUACUUGGGAGGCUGAGGCAGGAGGAUUGCUUAAGUGCAGGAAGUCUGGGCCCCUCAGGUGUCCACACUAAGUUUGGCAUCUAUAUGGUGAUCUCCUGGGAGUGGGGGACCACCAGGUUGCCUAAAGAGGGGUGAACCGGCCCAGGUGGGAAACAGAGCAGGUCAGAGCUCUCGUGCUGAUCAGUAGUGGGACUGCACCUGCAAAUAGCCACCGCACUCCAGCCUGGGCAACACAGUGAGAUCCCAUCUCUU